RNAcentral lists this ribosomal RNA (762 nucleotides) under Limosilactobacillus fermentum. RNAcentral describes it as "bacterial SSU rRNA". It matches the Rfam family "Bacterial small subunit ribosomal RNA", at positions 61 to 797 of the family's 1533-position model. Lineage: Bacteria; Bacillati; Bacillota; Bacilli; Lactobacillales; Lactobacillaceae. The record is from RNAcentral.
AUUGAUUGAUGGUGCUUGCACCUGAUUGAUUUUGGUCGCCAACGAGUGGCGGACGGGUGAGUAACACGUAGGUAACCUGCCCAGAAGCGGGGGACAACAUUUGGAAACAGAUGCUAAUACCGCAUAACAACGUUGUUCGCAUGAACAACGCUUAAAAGAUGGCUUCUCGCUAUCACUUCUGGAUGGACCUGCGGUGCAUUAGCUUGUUGGUGGGGUAACGGCCUACCAAGGCGAUGAUGCAUAGCCGAGUUGAGAGACUGAUCGGCCACAAUGGGACUGAGACACGGCCCAUACUCCUACGGGAGGCAGCAGUAGGGAAUCUUCCACAAUGGGCGCAAGCCUGAUGGAGCAACACCGCGUGAGUGAAGAAGGGUUUCGGCUCGUAAAGCUCUGUUGUUAAAGAAGAACACGUAUGAGAGUAACUGUUCAUACGUUGACGGUAUUUAACCAGAAAGUCACGGCUAACUACGUGCCAGCAGCCGCGGUAAUACGUAGGUGGCAAGCGUUAUCCGGAUUUAUUGGGCGUAAAGAGAGUGCAGGCGGUUUUCUAAGUCUGAUGUGAAAGCCUUCGGCUUAACCGGAGAAGUGCAUCGGAAACUGGAUAACUUGAGUGCAGAAGAGGGUAGUGGAACUCCAUGUGUAGCGGUGGAAUGCGUAGAUAUAUGGAAGAACACCAGUGGCGAAGGCGGCUACCUGGUCUGCAACUGACGCUGAGACUCGAAAGCAUGGGUAGCGAACAGGAUUAGAUACCCUGGUAGUCCC